CACGUAGGGGGCGAGCGUUGUCCGGAUUUAUUGGGCGUAAAGAGCUCGUAGGCGGUUCGCUAAGUCGGGUGUGAAACCUCCAGGCUCAACCUGGAGACGCCACCUGAUACUGGUGUGACUAGAGUCCGGUAGGGGAGUGUGGAACUCCUGGUGUAGCGGUGAAAUGCGCAGAGUAUCAGGAAGAACACCCGUGGCUAAGGCGGCUCUCUAGUACGGUACUGACGCUGAGACGCGAAAGCGUGGGGAGCGAACAGG
Molecule: ribosomal RNA, 255 nt
Filed under: uncultured bacterium
Lineage: Bacteria
Description: partial 16S ribosomal RNA
Rfam family: Bacterial small subunit ribosomal RNA
Source: RNAcentral